This 21-nucleotide microRNA is filed under the name Tribolium castaneum (red flour beetle). Its description in RNAcentral is "tca-miR-3822-3p". The record is from miRBase by way of RNAcentral. Lineage: Eukaryota; Metazoa; Arthropoda; Insecta; Coleoptera; Tenebrionidae.
AUAUUUUCUGUGUGAACCUCG